CUUGGUCAUUUAGAGGAAGUAAAAGUCGUAACAAGGUCUCCGUAGGUGAACCUGCGGAGGGAUCAUUACAAGUGACCCCGGUCUAACCACCGGGAUGUUCAUAACCCUUUGUUGUCCGACUCUGUUGCCUCCGGGGCGACCCUGCCUUCGGGCGGGGGCUCCGGGUGGACACUUCAAACUCUUGCGUAACUUUGCAGUCUGAGUAAACUUAAUUAAUAAAUUAAAACUUUUAACAACGGAUCUCUUGGUUCUGGCAUCGAUGAAGAACGCAGCGAAAUGCGAUAAGUAAUGUGGAUUGCAGAAUUCAGUGAAUCAUCGAAUCUUUGAACGCACAUUGCGCCCCCUGGUAUUCCGGGGGGCAUGCCUGUUCGAGCGUCAUUUCACCACUCAAGCCUCGCUUGGUAUUGGGCAACGCGGUCCGCCGCGUGCCUCAAAUCGACCGGCUGGGUCUUCUGUCCCCUAAGCGUUGUGGAAACUAUUCGCUAAAGGGUGUUCGGGAGGCUACGCCGUAAAACAACCCAAUUUCUAAGGUUGACCUCGGAUCAGGUAGGGAUACCCGCUGAACUUAAGCAUAUCAAUAAGCGGAGGAAAAGAAACCAACAGGGAUUGCUCUAGUAACGGCGAGUGAAGCAGCAAUAGCUCAAAUUUGAAAUCUGGCGUCUUCGACGUCCGAGUUGUAAUUUGUAGAGGAUGCUUCUGAGUAACCACCGACCUAAGUUCCUUGGGACAGGACGUCAUAGAGGGUGAGAAUCCCGUAUGCGGUCGGAAAGGUGCUCUAUACGUAGCUCCUUCGACGAGUCGAGUUGUUUGGGAAU
Molecule: small RNA, 815 nt
Filed under: uncultured Davidiella
Lineage: Eukaryota; Fungi; Ascomycota; Dothideomycetes; Cladosporiales; Cladosporiaceae
Description: eukaryotic LSU rRNA
Rfam family: Eukaryotic large subunit ribosomal RNA (bases 533-815)
Source: RNAcentral